This 845-nucleotide ribosomal RNA is filed under the name uncultured bacterium. RNAcentral describes it as "bacterial SSU rRNA". It matches the Rfam family "Bacterial small subunit ribosomal RNA", at positions 13 to 859 of the family's 1533-position model. The record is from RNAcentral.
UUGAUUCCGGGGUCAGGACGGAACCGCUGGCGGCAUGCCUAAUACAUGCAAUUCGAACGCUGAAGCACUUUGCUUGCAGAGUGCGGAUGAGGGGCGAACGGGGGAGUAACACGUGGGAAAUCUGCCUAGGAGUGGGGGGAUAACAUUCGGAAACGGAUGCUAAUACCGCAUAUCUUUUUUGAACCGCAUGGUUCUUUAACGAAAGACGGCUUCGGCUGUCGCUCUUAGAUGAUCCCGCGGCGUAUUAGUUAGUUGGUGGGGUAAAGGCCUACCAAGACCAUGAUACGUAGCCGACCUGAGAGGGUGAUCGGCCACACUGGGACUGAGACACGGCCCAGACUCCUACGGGAGGCAGCAGUGGGGAAUAUUGCACAAUGGGCGAAAGCCUGAUGCAGCAACGCCGCGUGAGCGAUGAAGGCCUUCGGGUCGUAAAGCUCUGUCCUCAAGGAAGAUAAUGACGGUACUUGAGGAGGAAGCCCCGGCUAACUACGUGCCAGCAGCCGCGGUAAUACGUAGGGGGCUAGCGUUAUCCGGAUUUACUGGGCGUAAAGGGUGCGUAGGCGGUCUUUUAAGUCAGAAGUGAAAGGCUACGGCUUAACCGUAGUAAGCUUUUGAAACUGGAGGACUUGAGUGCAGGAGAGGAGAGUGGAAUUCCUAGUGUAGCGGUGAAAUGCGUAGAUAUAUGGAGGAACACCGGUGGCGAAAGCGGCUCUCUGGUCUGUAACUGACGCUGAGGCUCGAAAGCGUGGGGAGCAAACAGGAUUAGAUACCCUGGUAGUCCAUGCCGUAAACGAUGAGUGCUAGGUGUUAGGCCCUUUCCGGGGCUUAGUGCCGCAGCUAACGCA